GGUUUCGCUGUACAGUACAGGCUGGCCUUGAGCUCACUUUGUAGCCCAGGCUGGUCUUGAACCCUGCAAGAUCUCCUGCCUCAGCCUCCCGAGUGCUGGGAUUACAGGCAUGAGCCACCAUGCCCG
RNAcentral lists this microRNA precursor (126 nucleotides) under Cavia porcellus (domestic guinea pig). RNAcentral describes it as "miRNA (ENSCPOG00000039458.1)". Lineage: Eukaryota; Metazoa; Chordata; Mammalia; Rodentia; Caviidae. The record is from RNAcentral.